RNAcentral lists this ribosomal RNA (298 nucleotides) under uncultured Pseudomonas sp. Its description in RNAcentral is "partial 16S ribosomal RNA". It matches the Rfam family "Bacterial small subunit ribosomal RNA", at positions 1085 to 1382 of the family's 1533-position model. The record is from RNAcentral. Lineage: Bacteria; Pseudomonadati; Pseudomonadota; Gammaproteobacteria; Pseudomonadales; Pseudomonadaceae.
UACCGCAACGAGCGCAACCCUUGCCUUUAGUUACCAGCACGUUAUGGUGGGCACUCUAAGGAGACUGCCGGUGACAAACCGGAGGAAGGUGGGGAUGACGUCAAGUCAUCAUGGCCCUUACGGCCUGGGCUACACACGUGCUACAAUGGUCGGUACAAAGGGUUGCCAAGCCGCGAGGUGGAGCUAAUCCCAUAAAACCGAUCGUAGUCCGGAUCGCAGUCUGCAACUCGACUGCGUGAAGUCGGAAUCGCUAGUAAUCGUGAAUCAGAAUGUCACGGUGAAUACGUUCCCGGGCCUU